Molecule: long non-coding RNA, 788 nt
Organism: Populus trichocarpa (black cottonwood)
Lineage: Eukaryota; Viridiplantae; Streptophyta; Magnoliopsida; Malpighiales; Salicaceae
Exons: 2
Source: RefSeq, a predicted model, not a curated record
GUUAAUUCUUAAAGCCUGGGAAAUAUCUGACCUUCAAAUAUUUUUAUCUGGGCUUGACAUAUAUCUCCAACCCAUUCAGCCGAUAAUAUUACCCAGAGAAGGAUUUCUUUCCAUCUGACAGAGUGAGCUUACCUUCACUUCUUCUCCAUCUUUAAGCCAAAAUUCAGAUUUAUGCUCGAACGAAAAGCCAAGACUCCUUAUUAUGGGUUUGGUCUUCAAUGCUUAAUCUGUAAUGUCCUUUAAGAAUACUAAAUUUGAUGAAAACGAAGAUGAUCACACAUCUCACAGUGAUUGUCUCAAGCAAACGGAAAAGUGGUUCUGAAUCUGGCAUGGCUCCACCUGUCGUUGCUGUUGCUACCUGGUGCUGCUGUGACAGGUCUGCAUCCACUCUGUACAUAAGCCUUACAGUUAUGUACACGGGGUUCUUAUCAUAUAGCUAGUAAUUUUCAGCUGCUGCUGUCGCUAUAGUCUUGUAAAUCUUUAAAUGGUUAUUCCCAAAGACACUCGCUUCUUUUCCUUGUAUAGUUUUUAUCUAUUGCUUAUUGCUGAAAUCGAGAAGCAUCAGUCUGUUGGUUGUGCUUGUCAGUUGCCAUUUGGCUAAGAAAGUAAGGUUAGCUACCAGUUCUUGGUUUCCUGCUCCUAUGAUUAUGUACCUUGUUAAGAUGCUGAUAUUGAGCACUGUAAAAUGUUUUUGUAAGAAGAUGAUUUGUGUUUUCUUCUCACAAUCUUUGUUUCCUGCUUUAAAAACACCUUUAUAAAAGCACAAUUGUUUGCUAUUGCUUUUAGAA